Molecule: ribosomal RNA, 496 nt
Filed under: uncultured bacterium
Lineage: Bacteria
Description: bacterial SSU rRNA
Rfam family: Bacterial small subunit ribosomal RNA
Source: RNAcentral
GACGAACGCUGGCGGCGUGCUUAAUACAUGCAAGUCGAACGGAGCCUAGCCGGUAGUUUACUACAGGCGAAAGCUUAGUGGCGGACGGGUGAGUAACGCGUGGGCAAUCUGCCCCUAAGUCCGGGAUAACAGAGCGAAAGUUCUGCUAAGACCGGAUACUCUUCCUUGGUCGCAUGGCGGAGGAAGGAAAGGAUACGCUUAGGGAUGAGCCCGCGUCCCAUUAGCUAGUUGGUGAGGUAACGGCCCACCAAGGCGACGAUGGGUAGCCGGCCUGAGAGGGUGGACGGCCACACUGGGACUGAGACACGGCCCAGACUCCUACGGGAGGCAGCAGUAGGGAAUUUUCCGCAAUGGGGGAAACCCUGACGGAGCAACGCCGCGUGAGGGAAGAAGGUCUUCGGAUCGUAAACCUUUGUCAUCGAGGACGAAAACUGACGGUACUCGAGGAGGAAGCCCGGCUAACUACGUGCCAGCAGCCGCGGUAAGGAGUAGUACA